GCCCGCGCCCUGCUCGGUGUCCCCAGAGCUUGUCCUUCCCUGGCCUGAUUCCUGCACCCGGAACCACGGAAAGGGAGGGGGAUCCUCGACGCGAGGGGAAGGCCGAGGGCCCGGCUGAGCAGGUCAGGGCCGCCGAGAAAUCCUCUCCUCCUAGAAGCUUUUCAGAGUGUCCCGGAGCAGACCCUGGUAGACCAGGACGCUCCACAAAAUGGUCCAGGAGCAGCCUGUGAGCUUGCCGAGGGCUGAGGUCAGCUCGUUUCAUCUCUGUGCUGGGCCCUGGGGACACAAGGCUCCUGAUCAGCGAAUGGUUUUUGUACGGGGAGCUGUUGAGAAGCUUCAAGAACUAAUGGACAGACUAGAGAAGCGGGUUUGGAAAACAGGAAGCAAAACUUUUCUCCAUGACAACCAUCUCCAUAUUUCGAGAUGUCACAUUCUACCAUAAAGAUACAAAGCAAGACUGGGGCUAUUGAGGAAUUCAUGACUCAAGUGUGCAAAUCCUUUCUUGAAUCCAAAGGAAAAUAUCUUGCCGCUUUCAUAUGCUGCUUUGUAAAUGCC
Molecule: long non-coding RNA, 555 nt
Filed under: Equus caballus (horse)
Lineage: Eukaryota; Metazoa; Chordata; Mammalia; Perissodactyla; Equidae
Description: lncRNA (ENSECAG00000046036.1)
Source: RNAcentral